GACAGAGGGUGCAAACGUUGUUCGGAAUUACUGGGCGUAAAGCGUGUGUAGGCGGCUUCGCAAGUCGGAUGUGAAAGCCCCGGGCUCAACCCGGGAAGUGCACUCGAUACUGCAGGGCUUGAGUAUCGGAGAGGUUGGUGGAAUUCUCGGUGUAGAGGUGAAAUUCGUAGAUAUCGAGAGGAACACCGGCGGCGAAGGCGGCCAACUGGACGAAUACUGACGCUGAGACACGAAAGCGUGGGGAGCAAACAGG
This 253-nucleotide ribosomal RNA is filed under the name uncultured bacterium. Its description in RNAcentral is "partial 16S ribosomal RNA". It matches the Rfam family "Bacterial small subunit ribosomal RNA", at positions 524 to 776 of the family's 1533-position model. The record is from RNAcentral.